AUAACAGAAAAGAAUUCCGGUGGAGCAACCUUUAAUGCUUCUUCUUGAAAUACAUACAUGGAGAAUGGACAUCAUCAUCAUUAAUAUGGACCAAAAAACAAAAAACCAAAAAAAGAAAAAGGAAAAUGAAGAAGAAGAAGGUAUAUCAUUUGAUGUAAGAUGCGUAUGGGACUGUACGUAUAUGAUUAAGAAGGGAUCCAUUUUUUGUUGAUCCAUGUCUACAUCCCAAAUUAAUGCAAUAUUUGAGUCCAUUUUCCUUUUCGGAUCCAGCAAAUCUGAUGGUGGAGAAGCAUAACUUAUUUUUCCGGGCAGGGGAAAUUCUUGCUGAAAAACUCUGGUGGAAGAAUAAUUCCAGCGAUCUUAAAGUGUGAAGGAAGUGUCAGCUACAGCAAAGGGUUGGGGACAUGAAGAAGAGAGAGAGAGAGACACGGAAAGCUGAGCAGGUGCAUUGGACAAAUUAAAAAAAGCGGAAAGCGGCAAGAACAAGCAGAAGUUAAUUGGAAUUAUUGGAGUCGUGGUCACUGCCCCGCUGCUCACCAAUUAACAAUAAUUCAAGUUUCCCAUGCCAAUCCCCAUAAUUUGAGCUGAGAUGGGAAAAGUUUUGUUUUGGUCCUACUCCUGCGUCGUGGAGACAUGACAUCCAUCACCCUACUGCUACUGCUGCAGCUGUGCUGGUACAUGAACACAAGACAAGACGGAGGGAGAGGCGGAGGUGGACAACCUUAUGUUUAUUACUGCUGCUCAUGGCAUCCGCCUCCUCCCACUGCUCCCUCCCCAUAUUCAUAAUUUAACAAACAAGAAAAAAGUCAUCUCUGGAGGAGGAUUCCAUCAUUUCAUCAAUUUAAACAAAGAAUUUUAAUA
Molecule: non-coding RNA, 861 nt
Organism: Sesamum indicum (sesame)
Lineage: Eukaryota; Viridiplantae; Streptophyta; Magnoliopsida; Lamiales; Pedaliaceae
Source: RefSeq, a predicted model, not a curated record